AUGAGACCAGACCGGAAGAGGAGGAGGAGACCAGACCGGAAGGAAGAGGAGACCAGUAAGGAAGAGGAGACAAGACCAGAAGAGGAAGUGGAAAACAGACUGGAAGAGGAAGAGCUGACCAGACCGGAAGAGGAGGAGACCAGACAGAAAGAGGAGACCAGAGAGGAAGAGGAAGAUGAGAUGGGACCAGAAGAGGGAGCCGAUCAGACCGGAAUCCACCUUAGCCAACACGUGAGAAGACUUCGAGCUAGCAUCACUCCCGGGACCAUCCUCAUCAUCCUCACCGGAUGCCACAGAGGCAAGAGGGCGGUUUUCCUGAAGCAACUUGGCAGUGGCUUGUUACUUGUGACUGGACCUCUGACCCUUAAUCGAGUUCCUCUGCGAAGGACACACCAGAAAUUUGUCAUCAUCACCACCACAAAAAUUGAUAUCAGCAAUGUGAAAAUUCCUAAGCAUCUCACGGAUGCUUACUUCAAGAAGAAGAAGCUGCAGAAGCCCAGACACCAGGAGGGUGAGAUCUUUGACACAGAAAAGGAGAAAUACGAGAUUACAGAACAGCGCAAAGUGGAUCAGAAAGCUGUGGACUCCCAAAUUUUACCAAAAAUCAAGGCAAUUCCUCAGCUCCAGGGCUAUCUACGAUCUCUGUUUGCCCUGACAAAUGGAAUUUAUCCUCACAGAUUGGUAUUCUAAAUUUUUACAAAGAACCUAAUUAAAUAACUGA
Non-coding RNA from Microcebus murinus (gray mouse lemur), 721 nucleotides. Lineage: Eukaryota; Metazoa; Chordata; Mammalia; Primates; Cheirogaleidae. The record is from RefSeq and is a predicted model, not a curated record.